UCGUGCUAGGCGGGGCGCUAGGGGUGCCCUGUACCCGAAACCCUCUACAAGCGGGGCCGAAUCCCUGCCCGAGGGUGACCGCCACUUGGGUCAGCACCCAGCACGUGGCGUUGAAGGCCGGGUCCUGCGCGGCGGGACUUCGUGAAUUGGGUCAGGUCCGGAAGGAAGCAGCCCUAAGCGCUCAGCCCCGGGUGCCGCAGGAGCGCCUGGCUGGAGCCGGCGACUGGGGAAGCGCCGGGUAGCGGCAUUCGACGGCAGGGUGCACGG
This 267-nucleotide signal recognition particle RNA is filed under the name Acidimicrobiia bacterium. Its description in RNAcentral is "signal recognition particle sRNA large type". It matches the Rfam family "Bacterial large signal recognition particle RNA". From Rfam's summary of the family: The signal recognition particle (SRP) is a universally conserved ribonucleoprotein involved in the co-translational targeting of proteins to membranes. Archaeal SRP consists of a 7S RNA and homologues of the eukaryotic SRP19 and SRP54 proteins. In most bacteria, the SRP consists of a 4.5S RNA and the Ffh protein (a homologue of the eukaryotic SRP54 protein). The record is from RNAcentral. Lineage: Bacteria; Bacillati; Actinomycetota; Acidimicrobiia.